This 253-nucleotide ribosomal RNA is filed under the name uncultured bacterium. RNAcentral describes it as "partial 16S ribosomal RNA". It matches the Rfam family "Bacterial small subunit ribosomal RNA", at positions 524 to 776 of the family's 1533-position model. The record is from RNAcentral.
UACGGAGGAUCCAAGCGUUAUCCGGAAUCAUUGGGUUUAAAGGGUCCGUAGGCGGUUUUGUAAGUCAGUGGUGAAAGCCCAUCGCUCAACGGUGGAACGGCCAUUGAUACUGCAAGACUUGAAUUAUUAGGAAGUAACUAGAAUAUGUAGUGUAGCGGUGAAAUGCUUAGAUAUUACAUGGAAUACCAAUUGCGAAGGCAGGUUACUAACAAUAUAUUGACGCUGAUGGACGAAAGCGUGGGUAGCGAACAGG